GUUGUAUAGUUAAGUGACUAAGCGUACAAGGUGGAUGCCUUGGCAAUCAGAGGCGAAGAAGGACGUGCUAAUCUGCGAAAAGCUUGGAUGAGUCGAUAAGAGGCGUUUAAUCCAAGAUAUCCGAAUGGGGAAACCCAGUAGAUGAAGAAUCUACUAUCACUUACUGAAUUCAUAGGUAAGUGAGGCAAACCGGGAGAACUGAAACAUCUAAGUACCCCGAGGAAAAGAAAUCAACCGAGAUUUCGUCAGUAGCGGCGAGCGAAAGCGAAAGAGCCUGUUAAUGAUAGCAGCAGAGAUAGAGGAAUAAGCUGGGAAGCUUAGCGACACAGGGUGAUAGCCCCGUACUCAAAAUCCAGGCUGUGGUACUAAG
Molecule: ribosomal RNA, 370 nt
Filed under: Haemophilus haemolyticus
Lineage: Bacteria; Pseudomonadati; Pseudomonadota; Gammaproteobacteria; Pasteurellales; Pasteurellaceae
Description: bacterial LSU rRNA
Rfam family: Bacterial large subunit ribosomal RNA
Source: RNAcentral